AACGAACGCUGGCGGCAGGCUUAACACAUGCAAGUCGAACGAGAUCUUCGGAUCUAGUGGCAGACGGGUGAGGAACACGUGGGAACAUCCCUUUCAGUUCGGAAUAACGUUGGGAAACUAACGCUAAUACCGGAUACGUCCUUCGGGAGAAAGAUUUAUCGCUGAAAGAUUGGCCCGCGUCUGAUUAGCUAGUUGGUGAGGUAACGGCUCACCAAGGCUACGAUCAGUAGCUGAUCUGAGAGGAUUAUCAGCCACAUUGGGACUGAGACACGGCCCAAACUCCUACGGGAGGCAGCAGUGGGGAAUAUUGGACAAUGGGCGCAAGCUUGAUCCAGCCAUGCCGCGUGAGUGAUGACGGCCUUCGGGUUGUAAAGCUCUUUUGUCCGGGAAGAUAAUGACUGUACCGGAAGAAUAAGCCCCGGCAAACUUCGUGCCAGCAGCCGCCGUAA
This 449-nucleotide ribosomal RNA is filed under the name uncultured bacterium. RNAcentral describes it as "partial 16S ribosomal RNA". It matches the Rfam family "Bacterial small subunit ribosomal RNA", at positions 29 to 523 of the family's 1533-position model. The record is from RNAcentral.